GUGAGGAAUAUUGGUCAAUGGGCGAGAGCCUGAACCAGCCAAGUCGCGUGAAGGAAGAAGGAUCUAUGGUUCGUAAACUUCUUUUGCAGGGGAAUAAAGUGCAGGACGUGUUCUGUUUUGUAUGUACCCUGAGAAUAAGGAUCGGCUAACUCCGUGCCAGCAGCCGCGGUAAUACGGAGGAUCCGAGCGUUAUCCGGAUUUAUUGGGUUUAAAGGGUGCGUAGGUGGUUUGAUAAGUCAGCGGUGAAAGUUUGCAGCUUAACUGUAAAAAUGCCGUUGAAACUGUCGGACUUGAGUGUAAAUGAGGUAGGCGGAAUGCGUGGUGUAGCGGUGAAAUGCAUAGAUAUCACGCAGAACUCCGAUUGCGAAGGCAGCUUACUAAGCUACAACUGACACUGAAGCACGAAAGCGUGGGGAUCAAACAGGAUUAGAUACCCGUGUAGUCC
RNAcentral lists this ribosomal RNA (445 nucleotides) under uncultured bacterium. RNAcentral describes it as "partial 16S ribosomal RNA". It matches the Rfam family "Bacterial small subunit ribosomal RNA", at positions 354 to 796 of the family's 1533-position model. The record is from RNAcentral.